AGCUCAGAAGAACCAACAGGGAUUGCCCUAGUAACGGCGAGUGAAGCGGCAACAGCUCAAAUUUGAAAUCUGGCGUCUUCGGCGUCCGAGUUGUAAUUUGCAGAGGGCGCUUUGGCAUUGGCAGCGGUCCAAGUUCCUUGGAACAGGACGUCACAGAGGGUGAGAAUCCCGUACGUGGUCGCUAGCCUUUACCGUGUAAAGCCCCUUCGACGAGUCGAGUUGUUUGGGAAUGCAGCUCUAAAUGGGAGGUAAAUUUCUUCUAAAGCUAAAUACUGGCCAGAGACCGAUAGCGCACAAGUAGAGUGAUCGAAAGAUGAAAAGCACUUUGGAAAGAGAGUUAAAAAGCACGUGAAAUUGUUGAAAGGGAAGCGCUUGCAGCCAGACUUGCCUGUAGUUGCUCAUCCGGGUUUCUACCCGGUGCACUCUUCUAUAGGCAGGCCAGCAUCAGUUUGGGCGGUUGGAUAAAGGUCUCUGUCAUGUACCUCUCUUCGGGGAGAACUUAUAGGGGAGACGACAUGCAACCAGCCUGGACUGAGGUCCGCGCAUCUGCUAGGAUGCUGGCGUAAUGGCUGUAAGCGGCCCGUCUUGAAACACGGACCAAGGAGUCUAACAUCUAUGCGAGUGUUUGGGUGUCAAGCCCGAGCGCGUAAUGAAAGUGAACGGAGGUGGGAACCUUUCGGGGUGCACCAUCGACCGAUCCUGAUGUCUUCGGAUGGAUUUGAGUAAGAGCAUAGCUGUUGGGACCCGAAAGAUGGUGAACUAUGCUUGAAUAGGGUGAAGCCAGAGGAAACUCUGGUGGAGGCUCGCAGCGGUUCUGACGUGCAAAUCGAUCGUCAAAUUUGGGCAUAGGGCGAAAGACUAAUCGAACUAUCUAGUAGCUGG
This 882-nucleotide ribosomal RNA is filed under the name Elsinoe brasiliensis. RNAcentral's name for it is "LSU rRNA". It matches the Rfam family "Eukaryotic large subunit ribosomal RNA", at positions 49 to 954 of the family's 3401-position model. Lineage: Eukaryota; Fungi; Ascomycota; Dothideomycetes; Myriangiales; Elsinoaceae. The record is from RNAcentral.